AACGAACGCUGGCGGCAUGCCUAACAUAUGCAAGUCGAACGAGACCUUCGGGUCUAGUGGCGCACGGGUGCGUAACGCGUGGGAAUCUGCCCUUGGGUUCGGAAUAACAGCGAGAAAUUGCUGCUAAUACCGGAUGAUGACGUAAGUCCAAAGAUUUAUCGCCCAAGGAUGAGCCCGCGUAGGAUUAGCUAGUUGGUGAGGUAAAGGCUCACCAAGGCGACGAUCCUUAGCUGGUCUGAGAGGAUGAUCAGCCACACUGGGACUGAGACACGGCCCAGACUCCUACGGGAGGCAGCAGUGGGGAAUAUUGGACAAUGGGCGAAAGCCUGAUCCAGCAAUGCCGCGUGAGUGAUGAAGGCCUUAGGGUUGUAAAGCUCUUUUACCCGGGAUGAUAAUGACAGUACCGGGAGAAUAAGCU
This 418-nucleotide ribosomal RNA is filed under the name uncultured bacterium. Its description in RNAcentral is "bacterial SSU rRNA". It matches the Rfam family "Bacterial small subunit ribosomal RNA", at positions 29 to 492 of the family's 1533-position model. The record is from RNAcentral.